UAGUCCACACUGUAAACGAUGAUUGCUAGGUGUGGGGGGUCUGACCCCUUCCGUGCCGGAGCUAACGCAAUAAGCAAUCCACCUGGGGAGUACGACCGCAAGGUUGAAACUCAAAGGAAUUGACGGGGACCCGCACAAGCAGUGGAUUAUGUGGUUUAAUUCGAAGCAACGCGAAGAACCUUACCAGCACUUGACAUCCAACUAACGAAAUAGAGAUAUAUUAGGUGCCCUUCGGGGAAAGUUGAGAC
RNAcentral lists this ribosomal RNA (248 nucleotides) under uncultured bacterium. RNAcentral describes it as "partial 16S ribosomal RNA". It matches the Rfam family "Bacterial small subunit ribosomal RNA", at positions 791 to 1035 of the family's 1533-position model. The record is from RNAcentral.